Dromaius novaehollandiae (emu) is the source of this 671-nucleotide long non-coding RNA. RefSeq lists it as uncharacterized. The record is from RefSeq and is a predicted model, not a curated record. NCBI's taxonomy places the organism in Eukaryota, Metazoa, Chordata, Aves, Casuariiformes, Dromaiidae. The transcript is spliced from 3 exons.
CGGCCCCGGCCCCAGCCCGCCCCCGCGGGGGUGGUGGCGUCUCGGAGGCCGCGGCGGGGCGGCAGGAUGGAGCCGGGAGGCCGCGCUGCCUGUGCGCCCGCCGCCGGCUCUGUGCAGCCCUGCGGCAGAGGCGCUUCCCAGCCCGGGCAGGAGGAGCUCCGCUGCCCGAAGGAGUUUUGGGAGGAGAUUUGGGUACAAAAACGGCAACCGGAGAAACGCUCCCGUGUUUGUCCGCGGCUUCGGAGGCGGCCGUAUGCCGGCGCCUCCCGACCCUGCCGGCGGCCUCGUGCGCCCAAAGCGAGGCAGUCAAACGCCUGCUUGGUUGUGCAGGUUUUUGCACUGUUGUCUCAGCUCAACAGAAAAAAGGUAGGUUGAUGCUGGGAAAAGCUAAGCACUUGCCUACACAGUGACCAGAACCUGAACUCUGCUCUCCCAGGCCUGUGCUCAGCCUGGAACGCUGCUGUCUUCAAUCACAGAUACGUAUCUAGUCUAGAGAGUCUCCGAGCAGCAGACGAGCGGAAGCUGGGAGGCUAGGUGCAGCUUCCCCUGUACCCGUAGUGACCUCCGGUUACAUAGAUGAUUUCAUGCAGGACACAGGCGGUGGCGUUUCCAACUCCUGUACACAGUAUUGAAGUCACAACAACCUUCAGGCUCCACAAAAUACUCUCUGC